AUAACAGGAAGUUUGAUUGUAGCCUCUUCUCCAGAUGCUGUGAAUGAGUCACAGAGUCGGAUGUCAUCACGUUUCGUAUCGUAUGUUUGGGUGUGUGUUACCUGACAUGAAGUGAACAGGUCGGACUAAUUUCCGCUCAAUGAAGCGCCGCAGCCACUGCUGACAGAAACUAACCGUCCUCGCGUUUUGUGCUUGAUAUUUUAUUUUUCUACUUUAUAUUUUAUUUUUAAAUCCUUCAGCGGUGUUUUUGCACUUUUUUUUUUAACUCAGAAAAGACGCAAGAAAGAGAGAGAGACAGAGAGCGCGAGAGCAGGUAUGGCACAACAGGCCGCGGCAUGACUGACAUUAAUGAGGUCGGAGGUGUACUCGGGGUUGGAACAAGCAGAGGACGAGGAAGUGAAGUUGGACAUUUGAAUUACGCAGAAAUGAGCGAGUUUUUCUUUUCCAAACUGAAGAGAAAAACGUCUGUUGAUAGUUUUUCUAGUUUUUGUGCGCAAAUGCGCCCAAAUCCGGAGACGCCGGUGGCACUUUUACGCGCAGGACUUCUGUUGAGUUUAUUUCGUUUGUGCGCCUGUUUGGAUGACAGUUGUGUUCUGGGGAUCGUGGGACGGCCAGUGUCUCUGCCUUGCGUUCUCCCUGAGUUAGUCAACUCUGAGAAUGUCACCAUUGAGUGGAUGAGAGGCAGUGAGUUGGUACUCAGGUCGGUAUGGAAGCCCGAUGGAAGUGUGGAGACAUGGAGCAAUAACAGAGUCACAGUCCCAUCUGACGCUCCUCUGACUGGAAACGUGUCUUUAAACCUGCCAGCGGUUCGUCCCGUUGAAGACCAAAUAUCUUACAGCCUUUUCAUGGUUUUAGGGAAGAAUCAGAGCGCCAGGCUUUGCACCACAUGCCUCAGGACAGCAGCCAGUUUCAGCUUCCCAAAGUUGGAGAAGGAAGAGGCAGUGCAGGGCGAUGAGAAAGUCUUCCUGUGUCACUCCACUGGAGGUUAUCCCACACCUGCAGUGUACUGGCUCAUCAAUGACACCGAGGAGCCCCCCGCAGGGUCGGUGUGGACUCAGAUGACAUCACUCCCAGACAAUCUCUACAACAUCACCAGCCACUUGACCCUCAACAUUUCUGACGACUCCAUUGUGUCAUGCAUCAUUGAUAACCAAUCUAUGAACCAAACCGUGAUGUCAACCUUUGGAGUGGAGGCCAGGCCUGUGACGAAUCGAGCGUCGUCGGCCAUGUGGAUGUUCAGCACAGGUCUGUGUGUGGUAGUUGGCAUCAUGGUGAUAGCUGGGGUGGUGUAUCAGAUCCACCUGGACAAAGUAAGCAAGAGGAAGAAGGAAGAACACAAACAACAUCAGAGAGGAUACAAAAGACGGUAUCAAUUCAAGUUGGAAGACGAGUUGAUGAACCAGGAACAAAGGGAGACGGAUGUUUGA
RNAcentral lists this long non-coding RNA (1427 nucleotides) under Oreochromis niloticus (Nile tilapia). Its description in RNAcentral is "lncRNA (ENSONIG00000034804.1)". The record is from RNAcentral. Lineage: Eukaryota; Metazoa; Chordata; Actinopteri; Cichliformes; Cichlidae.